RNAcentral lists this microRNA precursor (111 nucleotides) under Oryza longistaminata (longstamen rice). RNAcentral describes it as "pre miRNA mir-75". The record is from RNAcentral. Lineage: Eukaryota; Viridiplantae; Streptophyta; Magnoliopsida; Poales; Poaceae.
UUAAAUUGGCUAUAGAUGAAUUGGAGUUAGUAGUUGGCUAUACUAUUAACCUUGCUCUUAGAGCAAGUUUAAUAGUAUAGCCCACUACUAGCUCCAAAUCAUCUAUAACUA